This 490-nucleotide ribosomal RNA is filed under the name uncultured bacterium. RNAcentral describes it as "bacterial SSU rRNA". It matches the Rfam family "Bacterial small subunit ribosomal RNA", at positions 29 to 507 of the family's 1533-position model. The record is from RNAcentral.
AGUGAACGCUGGCGGCAGGCCUAACACAUGCAAGUCGAACGGCAGCACGGCAGUAGCAAUACUGUGGGUGGCGAGUGGCGGACGGGUGAGGAAUACAUCGGGAUCUACCCUGUUGUGGGGGAUAACGUAGGGAAACUUACGCUAAUACCGCAUAAGAACUGAGGUUGAAAGCGGCGGACCGCAAGGCGUCGCGCGAUUGGAUGAACCGAUGUCCGAUUAGCUAGUUGGCGGGGUAAAGGCCUACCAAGCCUGCGAUCGGUAACUGGUCUGAGAGGACGACCAGUCACACUGGGACUGAGACACGGCCCAGACUCCUACGGGAGGCAGCAGUGGGGAAUUUUGGACAAUGGGCGCAAGCCUGAUCCAGCAAUGCCGCGUGUGUGAAGAAGGCCUUCGGGUUGUAAAGCACUUUUGGCGGGAGCGAAACGGCGUUUGCUAAUACCAGACGCUAAUGACGGUACCCGCAGAAUAAGCACCGGCUAACUACGUG